AUGUCAGAGUGACGUGAUGUGAAACUUAGCUGAUCGUUGCUGGCUUUGAAGAUGGAAGGAACUCAGGCAGCCUCUAGACACUGGAAAAGCUAAGAAAACCAAUUCUCCCAUAAAGCCUAGAUUAAGGAAUGCAAGUCUGCCAACACAUUUUUUUUUUUUUGAGAAAGAUUAGCCCUGAGCUAACUGUUGCCAAUCCUCCUCUUUUUGCUGAGGAAGACUGGUCCUGAGCUAACAUCCGUGCCCACCUUCCUCUACUUUAUACAUGGGAUGCCUACCACAGCAUGGCGUGCCAAGCGAUGCCAUGUCUACACCUGGGAUCCGAACCAGUGCAUCCUGGGCUGCCGAAGCGGAAUGUGCACAUUUAACCAUUGUGCCACCGGGCUGGCCCCUCUGCCAACACUUAAUGAUUUCAGCCUGGCCUUCCACAGCAGCCACAGCAGCCACAGCAGACGGCGAACCUCCACCUUCCACGUGAGGCAGGCAGACGUGGAAGAAAGAGUAGACGUUAGUGACCGGCCUGCCCUGGUGGACUCAGAAGGUGAUGAGAUGUUGGCAGACGACCCUCUUCCUCUCUCUCCUACACCCAGUCUCCUGCAGCUCCCACCACCCAACCUCCGACAAUCUAGCCUACCGCACAUCAUCACCACCGCCUCUCAGCCUUCCAGUGUGCUCGCUGCCUUCCUGGUUCAGGCCCAGCUUGAGAUACUCAGCUUGCAACCGGGGUGGCUUUGUGACACAGUUCUGACCAGUGAGAUGCAAGAUCAAGUCACCAAGUGGGGCUUCUGGGAAAGCUUGUUAAAUGGAACUGAGUCAUCUGUUAAGUGCCUUUUCAGCUUUUACAUUUUGCUUUUUGUCCCCUCUCCAAUUUCUGUUUUCUGCUGGGAACAUGACUGUGAUGCCUGGAGGUGGACUAGCCAUUUUGUGACAAAAACCACUUGCUAAAGAUAAUGGGACAGAAAAAGAGAACCUGUGUCUCUGGCACCAUCCUAGAUCCUCUUUACCAGCCCAUGUUCCAAACGCGGGGACUUGUUGUUAUAGGGAGAAAUAAACCACUGUUUAGUUAAA
RNAcentral lists this long non-coding RNA (1065 nucleotides) under Equus asinus (donkey). RNAcentral's name for it is "lncRNA (ENSEASG00005032521.1)". The record is from RNAcentral. Lineage: Eukaryota; Metazoa; Chordata; Mammalia; Perissodactyla; Equidae.